Molecule: ribosomal RNA, 429 nt
Filed under: Chloroflexota bacterium
Lineage: Bacteria; Bacillati; Chloroflexota
Description: Chloroflexi bacterium partial 16S ribosomal RNA
Rfam family: Bacterial small subunit ribosomal RNA
Source: RNAcentral
UGGGGAAUAUUGCACAAUGGGCGCAAGCCUGAUGCAGCCAUGCCGCGUGUAUGAAGAAGGCCUUCGGGUUGUAAAGUAUUUUCAGCGGGGAGGAAGGGAGUAAAGUUAAUACCUUUGCUCAUUGACGUUACCCGCAGAAGAAGCACCGGCUAACUCCGUGCCAGCAGCCGCGGUAAUACGGAGGGUGCAAGCGUUAAUCGGAAUUACUGGGCGUAAAGCGCACGCAGGCGGUUUGUUAAGUCAGAUGUGAAAGCCCCGGGCUCAACCUGGGAACGGAAUCUGAUACUGGCAAGCUUGAGUCACGUAGAGGGGGGUAGAAUUCCAGGUGUAGCGGUGAAAUGCGUAGAGAUCUGGAGGAAGACCGGUGGAGAAGGCGGCCCCCUGGACGAAGACUGACGCUCAGGUGCGAAAGAGUGGGGAGCAAACAGG